CCUACGGGGGGCAGCAGGUCAGGAUCUUGCGCAAUGGGCGAAAGCCUGACGCAGCGACGCCGCGUGGGGGAUGAAGGCCUUCGGGUUGUAAACCCCUGUCGGGUGGGAAGAAAAGCACGAGGGCGAACAGCCCUUGUGUCUGACUGUACCACCGGAGGAAGCCCCGGCUAACUCCGUGCCAGCAGCCGCGGUAAUACGGAGGGGGCGAGCAUUAUCCGGAUUCACUGGGCGUAAAGGGCGUCUAGGCGGCUUGGCAAGGCGGGGGUGAAAUCCCUGGGCUCAACCGGGGAACUGCGUCCGAUACUGGGGGGCUUGAGGGCGGGAGAGGGAGGUGGAACUUCUGGUGUAGCGGUAAAAUGCGUAGAUAUCAGAAGGAACACCGGUGGUGAAGACGGCCUCCUGGCCCGUUCCUGACGCUGAAGCGCGAAAGCUGGGGGAGCGAACGGGAUUAGAUACCCCUGUAGU
This 465-nucleotide ribosomal RNA is filed under the name uncultured bacterium. RNAcentral describes it as "partial 16S ribosomal RNA". It matches the Rfam family "Bacterial small subunit ribosomal RNA", at positions 338 to 794 of the family's 1533-position model. The record is from RNAcentral.